This 70-nucleotide microRNA precursor is filed under the name Tursiops truncatus (common bottlenose dolphin). RNAcentral describes it as "miRNA (ENSTTRG00000024766.1)". Lineage: Eukaryota; Metazoa; Chordata; Mammalia; Artiodactyla; Delphinidae. The record is from RNAcentral.
GUUGGCCAAAAUGUUCGUUGGGGUUUUUCCAUUCAUCUUACGGAAAAACGCGAAUGAAUCUUUUGGCCAA